AUUCUCAAAUUCUGAAAUCUUAAAUUUAAGACAUGAAUCAAAUAACAAUUACAUUUUUCGAGCGUAAGUGCUACAAAUGGAGCACGUACUUUUUUUUAAUUACUGCAAAGUUUGAACACUAAAGGCGAUCAUAAUUUAGAUUUUUUUAAAGUUUUUUUCAAUGUAGAUAGUAUAAAAAAUGAUAAAAUGACGAUAUGAACACAUAUCCAUACCACACGCUCAAUUCGUUUUUAGCAAGACAAAUAAUGAUAGCAAAAUUUGUAAGGUUUAUGUUAAUGCGUUUUAUGU
RNAcentral lists this long non-coding RNA (288 nucleotides) under Mytilus galloprovincialis (Mediterranean mussel). Lineage: Eukaryota; Metazoa; Mollusca; Bivalvia; Mytilida; Mytilidae. The record is from RNAcentral.